RNAcentral lists this ribosomal RNA (810 nucleotides) under uncultured bacterium. Its description in RNAcentral is "bacterial SSU rRNA". It matches the Rfam family "Bacterial small subunit ribosomal RNA", at positions 8 to 814 of the family's 1533-position model. The record is from RNAcentral.
AGAGUUUGAUCCUGGCUCAGGACGAUUUCUGGCGGCGUGCCUAACACAUGCAAGUCGAACGGAACUUUUUUAAAGGAUUUCUUCGGAAUGAAUUUGAUUAAGUUUAGUGGCGGACGGGUGAGUAACGCGUGAGUAACCUGCCUCUAAGAGGGGAAUAACAUUCUGAAAAGAAUGCUAAUACCGCAUAAUAUAUAUUUAUCGCAUGGUAGAUAUAUCAAAGAUUUAUCGCUUAGAGAUGGACUCGCGUCCGAUUAGUUAGUUGGUGAGGUAACGGCUCACCAAGACCGCGAUCGGUAGCCGGACUGAGAGGUUGAACGGCCACAUUGGGACUGAGACCCGGCCCAGACUCCUACGGGAGGCAGCAGUGGGGGAUAUUGCGCAAUGGGGGAAACCCUGACGCAGCAACGCCGCGUGAAGGAUGAAGGUCUUCGGAUUGUAAACUUCUUUUAUUAAGGACGAAGAAAGUGACGGUACUUAAUGAAUAAGCUCCGGCUAACUACGUGCCAGCAGCCGCGGUAAUACGUAGGGAGCAAGCGUUGUCCGGAUUUACUGGGUGUAAAGGGUGCGUAGGCGGCUUUGCAAGUCAGAUGUGAAAUCUAUGGGCUCAACCCAUAGCCUGCAUUUGAAACUGCAGAGCUUGAGUGAAGUAGAGGCAGGCGGAAUUCCCCGUGUAGCGGUGAAAUGCGUAGAGAUGGGGAGGAACACCAGUGGCGAAGGCGGCCUGCUGGGCUUUAACUGACGCUGAGGCACGAAAGCGUGGGUAGCAAACAGGAUUAGAUACCCUGGUAGUCCACGCUGUAAACGAUGAUU